AAGACAAGUAUAAAUAUGGCCAAAAUCAAGUACACCUUUUAGGGUGCGCUCGACUUUAGUGACUCAGCACGAGGUGUUUUGGAAUUUACAGGAUACUUAGAACUUUUUGUAAAAAAUAAACACUAGCACAUCAUAGAAAAUCAAGUGAGUAAUUUAUGUUUCAAAUUUUAUAACAGAAAUCUCUGUAUUAAAGGCUGUGGAUUUUCUAUAAAAAUCUUGAUUUAUUUGCCACAAAGUCCUCUUUUUCUAUCAAAUGCA
Molecule: long non-coding RNA, 258 nt
Filed under: Mytilus galloprovincialis (Mediterranean mussel)
Lineage: Eukaryota; Metazoa; Mollusca; Bivalvia; Mytilida; Mytilidae
Source: RNAcentral